AGCUAUGUUCGGAAAAGAUAACCGCUGAAAGCAUCUAAGCGGGAAACUUGCCUCAAGAUGAGAUCUCACUGGGAACUCGAUUCCCCUGAAGGGCCGUCGAAGACUACGACGUUGAUAGGCUGGGUGUGUAAGCGUUGUGAGGCGUUGAGCUAACCAGUACUAAUUGCCCGUGAGGCUUGACCAUAUAACACCCAAACA
RNAcentral lists this ribosomal RNA (198 nucleotides) under Pseudomonas aeruginosa. RNAcentral's name for it is "partial 23S ribosomal RNA". It matches the Rfam family "Bacterial large subunit ribosomal RNA", at positions 2747 to 2925 of the family's 2925-position model. Lineage: Bacteria; Pseudomonadati; Pseudomonadota; Gammaproteobacteria; Pseudomonadales; Pseudomonadaceae. The record is from RNAcentral.